CAACCCUCAGGAUCUCCGGCCGUAGCGCCGGAGCUGCUGGUGUUGGGGAUCCGGGCCAGCCCCACGCGGGUCGGCGCCCGGACCCCGAAAGACAGUGGCGGCCCUGCCGUAGCGUCCUCUGCGUAGUAGCAACACCUCGCACCGGAGCGCGGCGCGGCCAUGCCGUAAAGCGCAGGCACGCCUGCACCACUUCAAU
Molecule: unclassified non-coding RNA, 196 nt
Filed under: uncultured Sordariomycetes
Lineage: Eukaryota; Fungi; Ascomycota; Sordariomycetes
Description: sequence contains ITS2
Source: RNAcentral